UAGUCCACGCCGUAAACGAUGGUCACUAGCUGUUCGGAUUUCGGUCUGAGUGGCUAAGCGAAAGUGAUAAGUGACCCACCUGGGGAGUACGUUCGCAAGAAUGAAACUCAAAGGAAUUGACGGGGGCCCGCACAAGCGGUGGAGCAUGUGGUUUAAUUCGAUGAUACGCGAGGAACCUUACCAGGGCUUAAAUGUAGUGUGACAGGACUAGAAAUAGUUUUUUCUUCGGACACAUUGCAAGGUGCUGCAUGGUUGUCGUCAGCUCGUGCCGUGAGGUGUCAGGUUAAGUCCUAUAACGAGCGCAACCCCUGUUGUUAGUUGCCAGCACAUUAUGGUGGGAACUCUAACAAGACUGCCGGUGCAAACCGUGAGGAAGGUGGGGAUGACGUCAAAUCAUCACGGCCCUUACGUCCUGGGCUACACACGUGCUACAAUGGUAGGGACAGAGAGCAGCCACUUCGCGAGAAGGAGCGAAUCUAUAAACCCUAUCACAGUUCGAAUUGUUUCUGAAA
Molecule: ribosomal RNA, 512 nt
Filed under: uncultured bacterium
Lineage: Bacteria
Description: bacterial SSU rRNA
Rfam family: Bacterial small subunit ribosomal RNA
Source: RNAcentral